Long non-coding RNA from Salmo trutta (river trout), 2478 nucleotides. Lineage: Eukaryota; Metazoa; Chordata; Actinopteri; Salmoniformes; Salmonidae. The record is from Ensembl.
UGAAUAGGAAUGUUUAGAUUAAUUCUCAGUUUGGAAACGUAAUUUAAAGGUUUUUAAGCUAUUUUCUGUCUCCCGCCUCUUCUACAGUAGAUAUGAGGACAACAGCAGCAUCCUGAGCUGACAAAGAAACACUUCAUGGAAGGAACAAGAGGCUGGUGAGUGUGUUUCCAAUAUAUAUAAAUUGAUGCAAAAAAAGUUUGAAGUUAUGAGUUUGUAUGUCUCUGAAGAACUUGUCCAAUAUCAGGAUUGGAUAUACGUUGACGAUAAACAACGUUUCUUUAUCUCUAGGGAAGUUGUACACAUACCACACAAUAUCAGGAUUGGAUAUUCGUUGAUGCUGCAGACAGUUUCAAGUUGUGACAUCGUUUAUUUCUAGAAAAGUUGUACAACGUAGCUUCAUAGGUACCAACAAUAUAUAUAUAUAACCCUGUUUCCUUGUCCAUUCUGAGGAAACAUCCAUGUCUCUUGUGGACAGGCCCUCUGAUCAGCAGUACUUCCUUAAGAUGCACCUCCCCAGGAUCAAGAAGAGAACCCAAUCACCCCACAGAGAGACCGUUUCCCCUGUCCUCUCAUACUACUCAGAGCCAGCCUACCUGCAGCACCGUAAGGUAAAGUACAGGAAGCAGCAGCUAGUAAGUCAUCUUCAUACAGAUACUAUCCUCUCUUCUAACACUCUGGAAUAGGGUUUAGGGAAAGCACAGACUUUUUGAAAUGAUCAAUACACAGUGGUUGAUUGUUAGAUCUCAAAUUGACCCCCAGUCUUCGACCCUCUACGUCCUUCCUGUAGAUCUGGAAAGAUCAGACAGAGCAUCAUAUGAACACAAACACCCCCACUGUGUGUUUUCAUUUUGUUCAGGAUGUGACUAGAGAUCUGGCCACGCUGCCUGGCGGAACGAGAAGAGGAGCGCUGGAGGAGGAAGACCAGGAAGAGACGCUGAGCCUACGGAGCAUGCCCAGUAUGAGAAGCACCCUGAGUCACGCCUCAAAGGUGAAAAGGUCACGGGGGUUCCCGAAGAGACACACCAUCCCCGAGCUCAGACUGCCCCCUGUUACUAAGAUUCAUCCUGACCCCAGAGCCAGUCUGGAAUUGAGGGGAACUGGCUACCUGAGAUGUUCCAGACUUCCACCCAUCAUCAAAUCUACCAGAACCCAUGAGCCUCUGCACCAGGAGAGACCCCCAGGUCCAGCUGGGUACAGGUUCGAUACCUUUCUCCAUGUAGGUUCUAACUAAUUACUCACGACCCAAUGUGAGGAAGAGGAGCUACUCACACAGUAAAUCUACAGGGGAGUCAGGACACACCCCUGGGGGACCCCGCCUCAGUACUGCUCAGUCUCACGCUUCUCCCUCCCCAGGUAUAGUCUACAUACAGCAAUCAUCCCUCCCCAGGUAUAGUCUACAUACAGCAAUCAUCCCUCCCCAGGUAUAGUCUACAUACAGCAAUCAUCCCUCCCCAGGUGUAGUCUACAUUCAGCAAUCAUCCCUCCCCAGGUAUAGUCAACAUACAGCAAUCAUCCCUCCCCAGGUAUAGUCUACAUACAGCAAUCAUCCCUCCCCAGGUAUAGUCUACAUACAGCAAUCAUCCCUCCCCAGGUAUAGUCUACAUACAGCAAUCAUCCCUCCCCAGGUAUAGUCUACGUACAGCAAUCAUCCCUCCCCAGGUAUAGUCUACAUGCAUACAGCAAUCAUCCCUCCCCAGGUAUAGUCUACAUGCAUACAGCAAUCAUCCCUCCCCAGCUAUAGUCUACAUACAUACAGCAAUCAUCCCUCCCCAGGUACAGUCUAUAUACAUACAGCAAUCAUCCCUCCCCAGGUAUAGUCUACAUACAUACAUACAGCAAUCAUCCCUCACCAGGUAUAGUCUACAUACAUACAUACAGCAAUCAUCCCUCCCCAGGUAUAGUCUAUAUACAUACAGCAAUCAUCCCUCCCCAGGUAUAGUCUAUAUACAUACAGCAAUCAUCCCUCACCAGGUAUAGUCUAUAUACAUACAGCAAUCAUCCCUUCCCAGGUGUAGUCUACAUACAUACAGCAAUCAUCCCUCCCCAGGUAUAGUCUACAUACAUACAGCAAUCAUCCCUCCCCAGGUAUAGUCUACAUACAUACAGCAAUCAUCCCUUCCCAGGUAUAGUCUAUAUACAGCAAUCAUCCCUCCCCAGGUAUAGUCUAUAUACAGCAAUCAUCCCUCCCCAGGUAUAGUCUAUAUACAUACAGCAAUCAUCCCUCCCCAGGUAUAGUCUAUAUACAUACAGCAAUCAUCCCUCCCCAGGUAUAGUCUAUAUACAGCAAUCAUCCCUCCCCAGGCAUAGUCUACAUACAUACAGCAAUCAUCCCUCCCCAGGUAUAGUCUACAUACAUACAGCAAUCAUCCCUCCCCAGGUGUAGUCUACAUACAUACAGCAAUCAUCCCUCCCCAGGUAUAGUCUAUAUACAUACAGCAAUCAUCCCUCCCCAGGUAUAGUCUAUAUACAUACAGCAAU